Molecule: long non-coding RNA, 326 nt
Organism: Lolium rigidum
Lineage: Eukaryota; Viridiplantae; Streptophyta; Magnoliopsida; Poales; Poaceae
Exons: 2
Source: RefSeq, a predicted model, not a curated record
UUGGAAACUCCCACCAAACGAGGUGAUCAUGGUUGGAGACAGCCCCAAGGAUGAUAUUGUUUGUGGAAAGAGAGCUGGUGCUUUCACUUGCCUACUUGACGAAACAGGGCGAUAUGGCCCCCAUGAUUCUUUGCCUGAAGAUGUUAAGCCUGACUUCAUGGUUUCUUCACUCUCUGAAGUAUUAUCCGUGUUGGAGGAGCAUUUCCAUUUGGAUCCGGUGUUAUCGGCUGACAGUAGAAUCUGACAUGAAUGGUUUUGUAAGCUGUCUUCCGAGUGAGGAAACAUGUUUGUACACCUUAAUGUAAUACGGUACAUGUCGAGAAGUA